Molecule: ribosomal RNA, 497 nt
Filed under: uncultured bacterium
Lineage: Bacteria
Description: partial 16S ribosomal RNA
Rfam family: Bacterial small subunit ribosomal RNA
Source: RNAcentral
GAUGAACGCUGGCGGCGUGCCUAAUACAUGCAAGUCGAGCGAACAGACGAGGAGCUUGCUCCUCUGACGUUAGCGGCGGACGGGUGAGUAACACGUGGAUAACCUACCUAUAAGACUGAGAUAACUUCGGGAAACCGGAGCUAAUACCAGAUAAUAUAUUGAACCGCAUGGUUCAAUAGUGAAAGACGGUUUUGCUGUCACUUAUAGAUGGAUCCGCGCCGCAUUAGCUAGUUGGUAAGGUAACGGCUUACCAAGGCGACGAUGCGUAGCCGACCUGAGAGGGUGAUCGGCCACACUGGAACUGAGACACGGUCCAGACUCCUACGGGAGGCAGCAGUAGGGAAUCUUCCGCAAUGGGCGAAAGCCUGACGGAGCAACGCCGCGUGAGUGAUGAAGGUCUUCGGAUCGUAAAACUCUGUUAUUAGGGAAGAACAAAUGUGUAAGUAACUAUGCACGUCUUGACGGUACCUAAUCAGAAAGCCACGGCUAACUACGUG